RNAcentral lists this transfer RNA (76 nucleotides) under Deltaproteobacteria bacterium. RNAcentral's name for it is "tRNA-Glu". It matches the Rfam family "tRNA". From Rfam's summary of the family: Transfer RNA (tRNA) molecules are approximately 80 nucleotides in length. Their secondary structure includes four short double-helical elements and three loops (D, anti-codon, and T loops). The record is from RNAcentral. Lineage: Bacteria; Pseudomonadati; Myxococcota; Myxococcia.
GGUCCCAUCGUCUAGCGGUCUAGGACACCGCCCUCUCACGGCGAAAACAGGGGUUCGAUUCCCCUUGGGACUACCA